RNAcentral lists this long non-coding RNA (3728 nucleotides) under Homo sapiens (human). RNAcentral's name for it is "non-protein coding lnc-RAD23B-11:1". The record is from RNAcentral. Lineage: Eukaryota; Metazoa; Chordata; Mammalia; Primates; Hominidae.
GAGUAAUUUAACCUCCAACUCUCUGUACAAUCAGGUAAUACUAUUGUACUCAGUUGAGGUGAGAGGCAUGGUGCAUUACCCAGCACAUGGCGGGGCACAGUAAGUGUUUGUUUGGCUUUUUUUCUUUUCUCUCUCUCUCUCUGUGUGUGUUUUUUUUUGUUUUGUUUUGUUGUUUUUUUGUUUUUUUUUUUUUUUUGACAGGGUCUUGCUGUCUCACUCAGGCUGGAAUGUAGUGGUAUGAGCAAGCUUACUGCAGCUUCAGUAGAUCGAAGGUGCUGCCCACCACCACACCCAGCUAAUUGUUUUGAUUUUUAGUAGAGAUGAGGUCUCACUACAUUGCCCAGGCUGGUAUUGAACAUCUGAGCUCAAGUAAUCCUCCCACCUCAGCCUCCCAAAGUAUCUGAAUUACAGGUGAGCCACUGUGCCUGGUCAGCAGGUGGUGUUUUGAGUCCUUCCUAUAAUAACUCUUUGUUGAGCACCAACUACAUGCUAUUGUCCUGGGCCCGGCCCCAAGAUGGUCAUUACUGUGCACAUUGUAAUGCAGCAAGUAUGGAAUUUGCAACCAACACCCAGAUCUUCCGAUAAGUUCCUCCUCUUACCAGCAUGCAAUCCUAGGCAAGUCAUUUUCCUUCUCUGCAUCUCCAUCUCCUUACCUGAAACAAGCAGAGAAGAUUUACAACACUCAUUGAGAUUAUACACCUCAUGCAGUCCUGGCACAAGAUAGGAAUUAAUGUAUUCAUUAUUUCCUUCUUCCUUUCCACAUGUCUGCAUCAGUUAUGUGUGCUAAGUACUCCACACAGCUCAGAGAUGGGAACUUUUGAAACUCUUCUGAUCUAGUGCAAAUGUUCUGGGGAUGGCGAGGAUCUGGAGAAGUCCGGACACAGAGUAAAUCAGGUUGGAGAGAGAUUUUUUUAAAGACAUUGCAAUUGCUUAGGUGAGGAAGACAGAAGACUUCAGAGGAAUCGAAGAUGACUCCUAGGUUUCUGGCUCGAACAACUAGGAAGAGGUUGGUGUCAAAUGCUAGGGAAGAAUUCUCUUUACCUCCUGUCUUAGUCAGUUUGGGCUGCUGUAAAAAAUGCUGUCAAAAUUUAUUUUCUCACAGUUCUGGAGCUUGAAAGUCCAUCAAGGUGUCAACAUUAUUGGUUUCUGGGUGAGGGCUCUCCUGGCUUGCAGACAGCCACCUGCUCCCUGUGUGCUCACAUAGCCUUUCCUUGGCGCUUACACCUGGGAGAGAGUGAGGAAACUCUCUGGUGUCUCUUAUUAAAAGAGCUUUAAUUCCAUUGGACCAGGACCCCACCGUCAUGACCUCGUCUCAUCCUAAUCACCUUCAAAGGCUGUGUCUCCAAAUACCAUCAACUGGGGAUUAGAGCUUCCACAAAUGAAUUUUGAGAGAACACAAACAUUUGAUUCAUAACACCUCCGUAUUAAUAAGAGAGAAAUAAUGAUGACGCGUAUCCUAGUCAUCUUCCUAUUCCAAUGGCUUUGAGCCUCUUUGAUUAUUUCAGGAGGUGGCUUGCAAGCACAUCUGUCUACAUUCGUUUUUCUUCCAUAAGAAAGAUAAAGGGGAAGAGGAGCCUCGGUAGGUGAGUUAGGGCUAAGCUAUGAGUUCAUAGUGAAGACUUUUGUGACACAAGCAUAAAAAACUAGGUUCCUAAGGACCCAGUCAAUGUGAGGCUUUGAACUAGAAACUGGGAUGUCCGCUGAGUCAGAGGCACCCUUACCCUCAAGGAUCUCACGACUUUGUAAAUACAUGGAGGAUUUUCUCAGGAAGUUAGCUGUUUGGACUCUCGUCUCAGGUCAUGAACAUCUUGCCUCUGAAUAUGAAGGUCCUUAAGUGUGACUCCAUCACUUUCCUGUCCAGGACUUCCUCAGGCAGGGGAUGGUCUGCUUACCUGACCCCUAAGUGGCUUGUUAGGAUGAAUCAUGUUCCAGUUCUCUAAGAGGGUUUAUGUGUUGGAAAGAAUAUUCUCUUUGAUCUCAUGGCUUAGAGUGCAUAGGCUUUGUCCAGUUAAUCAUGUAGCUGGCGUCAGGCUUUGCCAGUUUUUAUUUCUUUGAGGCUUUAUGGCAUUUAAAGGGUUGGAGACUGGCCCUGUAGCGAACAUGGUUUUGACUUCAACAGCAACUGAACCUUUUCUCCAGCUCUUUGAUAAUAAUUGAUUAGUCUAGAAGUCCAAGCAAAGGUGGGACUUUCUAAAGUGCCUCAGAUCUAAGGGGUGAUUGAAGGGGUGAGUCUUUAAUAAGGACGCACUCUCUCCUCUCCUCUCCUGAGUCAUUCCCACAUGGUUAAAAGAGCUCUCCCAAUAAAUUUGAUUUUGCCUUAGUGCUUUCCAUUUACAAAGUACAUUCAUUCCACUAUCAAUUUAACCUCUCAAAUCAGCCUUGAGAGGUAGAAAGAGCAAGGCAAAUGGGCUUAAUUUUGCAACAGAGAAAUUCUAACACUCAUUAAAUGAUUUGCUCAAUGUCUCAUGGGGUACGAGUUGUGAGAGGAGCUAACAUUUAUUGAGGGUCUGCUAUGUGACAGUUUCCUUGUAAACCCUAACUUAUAUAGUCUACAACUAACCCUGGGUGGGGGGUAGAUAUUAUUGUGCCCAGUUGAAAGAUGAAGACACUGAGUCAUGAGACAUUUAAAGAGCUAUUUCAAAGCCUCCCAGCCCUUAGAUAUUAAGCCAACAUUGACUUUCUAGUCUUCUGAGAGUCAGUCUGUUAUGCUGUUUAAACUCCUCAUGCCUGACUGUAAGAAGAUAAUAGUACACUAUUUAUGCUUAGUCAAAUCUGGGGUAAGAAGUGCCGUAAAAGGAAAAGAGGCCCAUUUUCCCUCUUUACAGAGAGAUUUGGAAAUUUGCUUUCCUUUACAUAUGAAAUGAAAGAAGACGCAGAGACAUGGACCAGCUGCUGCGUGUGCUUCUCUCUGAAGUCUGAGCCGAGAUUCCCUAAGCUUGACUGCAUCGCUUAAGACCACAGGCCAGGGCAGCAGCCCUUCUGCGAAAAAAGCCACCUUUUAACCGGCUUGUUCGUUUUCUUCUUCUUGCACACUCUGUGGUCUGGCAAGGAGCAGGGGGGCCUCAAUAGCAAAGCCCUCACAACAGCAAUCCUUCUCAGUUCCCACUCUGAGUGAACCCGGUUCAACUUCUCGGGCUAACAGAGAUUUUAAUCGAAAUGAACUGACAGAGAAUUUGCUAAGUCCAAGAACACACAGUCUCGAGGUGACUGGACAGGAACAGAAGCCUCUAAAAGCUGAAAGAAUGAGGCAAAGGCUUUCCCCUCGGCAGACUCUGGCCUCCCUUCUUGACACUUCCUCUUGGGCUCUGUGAGUGUUUGCCCAGGGUUAUUGGCGAUGUCAUUGGGUGUCAGCUGAUCGACAGCGAAAGGGAGAGGAGCUAGAGCUACUGCAGGCCAGGAGCACACACGCUGGAUCUCAUCUCAUCUCCAUCUAACUCCUAUGUGAAGUGGGCUGUUGGAACCCCUUUCCCACAUUUGAGGAAACUGAGGCUCUAAAACGUGCAGUACGUCGUCUAAGCUCCCUGGUCCUCCAGAUGACAACUGUGAGAGAUUGCUUGGAUGCUUGGGGACUUUGUGAAGUCAACAUUAUACAGCAGCCAGAGCAAAUGCCUCAGCUUCAAAGACACCUUCAAGAACCUGUCUUUUCCAUGCUCUGAGCAUGCCCAUGUAAAAUCCUCACCUUGGGUAAGAUUGCCUCUUUGUGUGGCUGCCUCUCUUCUCAAGGGAAG